GUGAAACUGCGAAUGGCUCAUUAAAUCAGUUAUCGUUUAUUUGAUAGUACCUUACUACAUGGAUACCUGUGGUAAUUCUAGAGCUAAUACAUGCUAAAAACCCCGACUUCAGGAAGGGGUGUAUUUAUUAGAUAAAAAACCAACGCCCUUCGGGGCUCCUUGGUGAAUCAUAAUAACUUAACGAAUCGCAUGGCCUUGCGCCGGCGAUGGUUCAUUCAAAUUUCUGCCCUAUCAACUUUCGAUGGUAGGAUAGUGGCCUACCAUGGUGGCAACGGGUAACGGGGAAUUAGGGUUCGAUUCCGGAGAGGGAGCCUGAGAAACGGCUACCACAUCCAAGGAAGGCAGCAGGCGCGCAAAUUACCCAAUCCCGAUACGGGGAGGUAGUGACAAUAAAUACUGAUACGGGGCUCUUUUGGGUCUCGUAAUUGGAAUGAGAACAAUUUAAAUCCCUUAACGAGGAACAAUUGGAGGGCAAGUCUGGUGCCAGCAGCCGCGGUAAUUCCAGCUCCAAUAGCGUAUAUUAAAGGUUGUUGCAGUUAAAAAGCUCGUARUUGAACCCUUGGGUUCGGCUGGCCGGUCCGCCUCACCCGCGAGUACUGGUCCCGGCUGGACCCUUUCCUUCUGGGGAAACCUCAUGGCCUUUCACUGGCUGUGGGGGGGAACCCAGGAACUUUUACUGUSAAAAAAUUARAGUGUUCAAAGCAGGCCUUUGCUCGAAUACAUUAGCAUGGAAUAAUAGAAUAGGACGUGCGGUUCUAUUUUGUUGGUUUCUAGGACCGCCGUAAUGAUUAAUAGGGAUAGUCGGGGGCGUCAGUAUUCAGCUGUCAGAGGUGAAAUUCUUGGAUUUGCUGAAGACUAACUACUGCGAAAGCAUUCGCCAAGGAUGUUUUCAUUAAUCAGGGAACGAAAGUUAGGGGAUCGAAGACGAUCAGAUACCGUCGUAUUCUUAACCAUAAACUAUGCCGACUAGGGAUCGGACGGGAUUCUAUGAUGACCUGUUUGGGCACCUUACGAGAA
RNAcentral lists this ribosomal RNA (1017 nucleotides) under Penicillium brevicompactum. Its description in RNAcentral is "SSU rRNA". It matches the Rfam family "Eukaryotic small subunit ribosomal RNA", at positions 81 to 1107 of the family's 1831-position model. Lineage: Eukaryota; Fungi; Ascomycota; Eurotiomycetes; Eurotiales; Aspergillaceae. The record is from RNAcentral.